This 497-nucleotide ribosomal RNA is filed under the name uncultured bacterium. RNAcentral's name for it is "partial 16S ribosomal RNA". It matches the Rfam family "Bacterial small subunit ribosomal RNA", at positions 28 to 507 of the family's 1533-position model. The record is from RNAcentral.
GACGAACGCUGGCGGCGUGCCUAAUACAUGCAAGUAGAACGCUGAAGAGAGGAGCUUGCUCUUCUUGGAUGAGUUGCGAACGGGUGAGUAACGCGUAGGUAACCUGCCUUGUAGCGGGGGAUAACUAUUGGAAACGAUAGCUAAUACCGCAUAACAAUGGAUGACACAUGUCAUUUAUUUGAAAGGGGCAAUUGCUCCACUACAAGAUGGACCUGCGUUGUAUUAGCUAGUAGGUGAGGUAAUGGCUCACCUAGGCGACGAUACAUAGCCGACCUGAGAGGGUGAUCGGCCACACUGGGACUGAGACACGGCCCAGACGCCUACUGGAGGCAGCAGUAGGGAAUCUUCGGCAAUGGGGGCAACCCUGACCGAGCAACGCCGCGUGAGUGAAGAAGGUUUUCGGAUCGUAAAGCUCUGUUGUAAGUCAAGAACGGGUGUGAGAGUGGAAAGUUCACACUGUGACGGUAGCUUACCAGAAAGGGACGGCUAACUACGUG